UGCAUGAAGUCGGAAUUGCUAGUAAUCGCGGAUCAGCAUGCCGCGGUGAAUACGUUCUCGGGCCUUGUACACACCGCCCGUCACACCAUGGGAGUCGGUAACACCCGAAGUCUGUAGCCUGACGCAAGAGGGCGCAGCCGAAGGUGGGAUUGAUGACUGGGGUGAAGUCGUAACAAGGUAAC
RNAcentral lists this ribosomal RNA (182 nucleotides) under uncultured bacterium. Its description in RNAcentral is "partial 16S ribosomal RNA". It matches the Rfam family "Bacterial small subunit ribosomal RNA", at positions 1317 to 1500 of the family's 1533-position model. The record is from RNAcentral.